This 255-nucleotide ribosomal RNA is filed under the name uncultured bacterium. RNAcentral's name for it is "partial 16S ribosomal RNA". It matches the Rfam family "Bacterial small subunit ribosomal RNA", at positions 524 to 776 of the family's 1533-position model. The record is from RNAcentral.
UACGAGUGCCUCGAGCGUUAUCCGGAAUCAUUGGGCGUAAAGGGUGUGUAGGCGGUCAUGUUAGUCUCGUGUAAAAUUCUUCGGCUUAACCGGGGGCUCGCACGGGAAGCGGCAUGACUAAGAGGAUGGAAGGGGUCUCUGGAACUCAUGGUGUAGCGGUGAAAUGCGUUGAUAUCAUGGGGAACACCAAAAGCGAAGGCAAGAGACUGGUCCAUUUCCUGACGCUGAAACACGAAAGCGUGGGUCGCGAAUGGG